AAGCCAGACUCCUACGGGAGGCAGCAGUGGGGGAUAUUGCACAAUGGGGGGAACCCUGAUGCAGCGACGCCGCGUGGGUGAAGAAGCGCCUCGGCGCGUAAAGCCCUGUCAGCAGGGAAGAAAAUGACGGUACCUGAAGAAGAAGCCCCGGCUAACUACGUGCCAGCAGCCGCGGUAAUACGUAGGGGGCAAGCGUUAUCCGGAUUUACUGGGUGUAAAGGGGGCGCAGACGGCGAUGCAAGCCAGGAGUGAAAGCCCGGGGCCCAACCCCGGGACUGCUCUUGGAACUGCGUGGCUGGAGUGCAGGAGGGGCGGGCGGAAUUCCUGGUGUAGCGGUGAAAUGCGUAGAUAUCAGGAGGAACACCGGUGGCGAAGGCGGCCUGCUGGACUGCAACUGACGUUGAGGCCCGAAAGCGUGGGGAGCAAACAGGAUUAGAUACCCCAGUA
This 447-nucleotide ribosomal RNA is filed under the name uncultured bacterium. Its description in RNAcentral is "bacterial SSU rRNA". It matches the Rfam family "Bacterial small subunit ribosomal RNA", at positions 328 to 792 of the family's 1533-position model. The record is from RNAcentral.